CCGGUUUUAAGGCAAAGGUGCCGGUUCUCAACCCAAAACCGGCACCUUUAUUUUAAUAGUAUUUUUCAUGUCCGAUGGUGGGAGUGCCGGUUUUUGUAUGAAAGUGUCGGUUUCUUUUAUAGAACCGGCACCUAUUCACUUAAAACUGUUAUCCAUUCCCUCUCUCCCCCUUAUCCUUUCACUCUCCCUCUCUCUCUCUCGGCGCGGCGGCAGCGGCGCGUCCCCCUCGCAGCCUCCCCCCCUCUCCUCCUCCUCCUCCUCGUGGCGCCCUCCAAGUCGUCGUCGGCUGUGGCGGCGGCGGCGGCGGCGGCCAAGGUGCGGGAGGAGGGAGAGGUCUCCUCCUGCGCCGACGACGACGAUGUGAGGAGGGCUCCCGACGGCGACGACGACGACGACGGUGACGAGGUGAGGAGGGAGAGGUCUCAUCCGGCAGCAGCAGCAGUGAGGAGGGCUCGAUGGCGUCCAGCGGCGAGGAGGUGUGCAGCGGUGGCGGCGAGGAGGAGGCGAGCGGCGGCGGCAGAUCCAUCCCACGAGAGCGGGCGCGUGUUCGCCGCGGGCCUCAACGGCUUUGGGCAGCUCGGGAUAGGCUCCUCCGUGACUCAUCCGCUGGUACUGCUUCUUGUGCAUCAUGCCUCCAUGUGAAAUUUCAUCUACAUUGUGAGUCAGCCUACUUUGCACAGGAGGCAAAAGCUGGCUGGACAUAUAUCAGAAUUGCAAUUUUCACUCCUGUAAAGUUUCUUUGUGUGCAAAUCAUUUUCCAGUGCAACUGCAGGUUCCAAUUUUUGUAGGUGUCAUGUAGAUGAUUCUCAUAUAUGUUCUUCUCAAUAUGAAUUUUCUUGUUCCUGUUCGAUGUCUGCUCUAAUUUUUGAUGAACAACGAUGUCUGAAUCUGAAUAUUUAAACUAGGCAUAUUUUGAGUUAGGAUAUAUAUGCAAAUGUUUAGGAUUUAAAGAUAGGAAUUUUUGAACUUACGAAUUUUUAGACUUACCGAAUUUUAACUUAGGCUUGUAUGUUUUU
Molecule: long non-coding RNA, 1016 nt
Filed under: Oryza sativa Indica Group (long-grained rice)
Lineage: Eukaryota; Viridiplantae; Streptophyta; Magnoliopsida; Poales; Poaceae
Description: lncRNA OsLiXu_09g0005380
Source: RNAcentral